This is a long non-coding RNA of Lynx canadensis (Canada lynx), 387 nucleotides long. RefSeq lists it as uncharacterized. The transcript is spliced from 4 exons. Lineage: Eukaryota; Metazoa; Chordata; Mammalia; Carnivora; Felidae. The record is from RefSeq and is a predicted model, not a curated record.
GCUCAGCUAGGUUAUAUAGUUUGAGAGGAGAAUUGGUAGGAUUUAGAAGGAAUUUUUUAUGAAAGCCUUAGGGGAAGUGUUUAGUUAUUUUUUGGAGCAGGGACUAAAGGAAUUAUCCAGAAGAAUCAGGUGGAGGAGGAACACCCUGACAUUCAUCUCCCAGGGAAUGGUCUCUCUACCCUGCAUCCACAUGGUGAAGCACUAUAGAAGAUUCUCCCUAUGGGUCAGCUUCUCUCCAGUGCCAGACUCCUCAAAGAAAUGAUACCACCCAAAUCAUCUUGCAAACCACAUGGAAAAUUGGUCAUGAUCCUCAUGGUUCCUGACAUCGAGCCCCAGAUCUGGCUCUGCCCUGACAGCGUGGAGCCUGCUUGGAAUUCUCUCUCCCUC